This 438-nucleotide ribosomal RNA is filed under the name uncultured bacterium. RNAcentral describes it as "bacterial SSU rRNA". It matches the Rfam family "Bacterial small subunit ribosomal RNA", at positions 954 to 1392 of the family's 1533-position model. The record is from RNAcentral.
GCACAACGCGAAGAACCUUACCUACUCUUGACAUCCAGAGAACUUGGCAGAGAUGCCUUGGUGCCUUCGGGAACUCUGAGACAGGUGCUGCAUGGCUGUCGUCAGCUCGUGUUGUGAAAUGUUGGGUUAAGUCCCGCAACGAGCGCAACCCUUAUCCUUUGUUGCCAGCGGUCCGGCCGGGAACUCAAAGGAGACUGCCAGUGAUAAACUGGAGGAAGGUGGGGAUGACGUCAAGUCAUCAUGGCCCUUACGAGUAGGGCUACACACGUGCUACAAUGGCGCAUACAAAGAGAAGCGACCUCGCGAGAGCAAGCGGACCUCAUAAAGUGCGUCGUAGUCCGGAUUGGAGUCUGCAACUCGACUCCAUGAAGUCGGAAUCGCUAGUAAUCGUGGAUCAGAAUGCCACGGUGAAUACGUUCCCGGGUCUUGUACACACCG